Long non-coding RNA from Triticum aestivum (bread wheat), 6088 nucleotides. RefSeq lists it as uncharacterized. The record is from RefSeq and is a predicted model, not a curated record. The transcript has 3 exons. Lineage: Eukaryota; Viridiplantae; Streptophyta; Magnoliopsida; Poales; Poaceae.
GUUCUUGGUGAUGCAACUCUUACCUCUCGCAUAUCGAUCCAGAAAUUUUGUUGUGUAAUCUCACAGUUUAGCAAUUUCAAACGCGGGCAUACAGUUUAGCAAUUUCAAACGCGAACAAGAAAUAAAUGAUGCCUUUGGUCUGCCCCAAGGUAGUAGGAUUACUCCCCCAGGACAUACAGACUUAUCGGAAGUAUGCAUAGAGUUCAACAGACAGGCCUCAAGCAUUAGUACAAAAGGGGUACACAACCUGAAGGCCGCUGAAUUCAUAGUAUCGAAGCCAUUAGACGAGAAUUCAAGCAGAGUCAAUUGCGAAUGCUUCAAGGUAGUAGGAUUAUUCCCCCAGGGCAUUUUUCAAAUGUGCGGAAUCAAUGUACUCUAGCUUGCCUUGCAAUUCUAUUGGAUGGACUAGAGCAUACCCCACGGUAAUGACUGAAAAGUUCUCAAGGUAAUAUCAAGACCCCCCAUUUUGAUCUUGUGAUUUAGCCAAGCUUCAUAAAACAAGAAGGAAUAUACUUACGUUAGCUUGCUCGCUCUGCAGUGAGCAGCCAGGCAUUUGUUCGAUUUACAUCAGAGGAAAUACGACGGCGACAAUCUUCAGAGCCCGACCACAAAGGAAACACAUAGCAUUGGCACGCAUCGCCACCCUGCACAAAAUUCUGAAGCUUGAACGGAACCGAUCCGAUGCACAUAACACAGCAAUGCAGCAUAUCAAAUCAUCUAUAAACACUCUGUGGUCAUUUUUUCGGAGUUCAGAAUGUCAGUAUUCAGGAGAGGAAUGUACCCUAGUCGGCUUUGAUAUAUUUUUCAGAAUUAUUUUUGGUCACGCCCGUCCCUGACAACAUUCAAGAUUUCUUGCAUUUUCUUCCAGCUGUGAACUCGGUGCAAUAUUCGAUUUUUGUUCAAACGCAUACAAUGCUUAAAAAAUAUAACUCAACCAGACAUUACAGCCAGCAAGCCCCACGGGCCAUACACAUACAUAUUGGUACGCUUUGUUCAAACGGAUACAAUGCUUGAGAAAUAUAAUCCAAGCAUACACUACAGCAAGCAAGUCCCAUGAUAACAACCGUGUUCGAUUGCAUUCAGGCUAGACAUAUUCUAACAAAUUCACCAGAUCAGCUUUCAGUCUCCAAGAUGGAUGAGGACGCUAGCGCCGAUCACUAUGCACGCUAGCAGUGCGAACAGCAUCAUCUUAUGUUGCCGCUGCAGCCUGGAUAUUGCUACCCGCAUGACAUCUAGUUCACCCUCUCCACCAUCAAUCAGCAAAUUUCUUCACGGACUAGAACAACUCCAGCAACUGAGCAUGCUCGUGAUGAUCCGGACGCGCACUUUGUUGGGGUGGCGAGCACAUCCAGAUCACGAUCGCACGAUGUGAAUCUGUGAGGGAUCAAGCUUGAAGGAGAUCUACAAAAGCCAUAUCAUUGACAAUCGAUAGUACGUUUGGGACUAUAAACUAAGCAACUGCAAAUUUCAAUAUGUACUUCAGAUUUCCUUCCAUGGCGACAAACUCCAUUAACAUCUGAAAUUUGUCGAAUGUCAGAUCGGCGCUCCUCGCGUGUUAUUUGUGUUGUGACGAUGACCACCACCCCACACACUAAAGAUAGAGAACCGGUGCCACUGCUCACCCGAAACUAGUGGGGUCUAUCAGAGUCCAGUCUCCAGUGCGAUAUCAGCAUUUAAGCUCCGGCACAAUGUGUGCGAAGAACAGAUACCACUCUCAGCCCGAACCAGUUCCAAACCUAGGAUAGGUUAAGAAGCACGGCGGCACACAUAUAGCUGCGCAUGUUAUACUGGACCAAGGCACGGGUAUUAUGCUCUGUAAGACGAAUAGUAUAUUGUCAGUUGCAGUAGCUAUAUAACAGGCUGACAGACUUUAGUUACAUCUCGAUGCACGCAACGAACGCGGCAGAUAAAGUGCACCGUUGACGCCGUGCACUGAAAAUGCGCUCCGCAUGUUGGUUCGCUACUACUCCCUCCGUUCCAAAAUAGAUGACCCAAUUUUGUACUAACUUUAGUAUAAAGUUGGGUCAUCUAUUUUAAAACGGAGGGAGUAUCUAUCUAUGGUGUUGUUUUCUUUGACUCCUCGGCCUCAUCGGCGCAUCCCUAGCCCUAGCCCCAAACCACAUGUACUUUAUGAACUUCACCUUCACCAAGAAGUAAGCACCGGCCUGAGAACUGAGAUUUAGAUAACCAUAUCAUUUACUUUGGUUUCAAACUGGAAUUUAGCCAAGCGAGAUCGUAAAUAGAUAGAGUUUCCUUCAAUGAAUUAAUAUACACGCGCGCAUGUAGCUAUUUGUAGUUGCUGACAAAAUUAAAGCACGUAAAAAUCGCUCUCUUGCAGCUACAUGCAUGGUCCGGCAGUUACAUGGUCAGAAGUAGAGCGGAUACUGGUGGGGGUAGUAGGAGCUGGGCGGGUAGAAGUAGUACGGCGGCGGGUGCAUGGGCUCUGGCUUCGGCUCAUCCUUCUUCUUCUCCUCCGGCUUCUUCACUUCCUCCACCUUGAUGAUUUGGGCGUGGCCGAGCUUCUUGCGGAGGCAGCUGACGAGGCACACCGAGUCGACGCCGUCGCCGACCACCUCCAGCUGGUCCCUCGCGUCGCCGGUUAUCCCCAUCGACGUCACCCCGGCUGCUCUGGCAGCCAGGGUCAAUGCUUUCGACCGGCUUUUGUCGCACGACAUGCUCAACUGGAUGACAAUCUUUUGCUGCAACAACAAGGAGGAUCAAUCGUAUGCUCCAGCUUCCGAGUAGUACAUAGACGAGACGAUGAGCUGCUAAACAAAACAAGACGAGAAGUAAACAAAUUGUAGGAGCAGAAACCCACCUUCAUUGCUUGCUGCUGCUGUGAAGGAGAAACGGCCGGGAACUUAAUGGGGAAAUGUUGGUGUUCGAGGCAAGGCUAGAAUGGUUGGGGUAGCAACUGAUCGAUCUUUAGUAGAUGCAAUGCUGCCUUAUAUACACGCACGCAGUGGGUGCGGGUGUGCAAGCAGAGACCAGAGUCAGCAGUAUGAGGAGCGAUCCCAACGAAGCUAGUCGUAAGAAGAUUCGUUGCAGCGGCAGUUGAGCAAGCAGUAUGAGUCAGCAGUGAGUAGACUAAUACAAGUGCCCUAAUGGGCAAGUAGAUGUAAGCGCGUCCUGAUCACAAUCACAUGCGCUCCUUGAAUUUUCCGAUGGGCAGGCUACCCAGUAAUUCCAGGACGACGCGACCAACCCAAUUAUUGUCGAUUGGCCAUGUUGCAGUCUUCUCCGAAGACGCGGCUGCGGAGAUACCCACGUAGACCCAGUCGAUCGAUUCGUUAACAAUAUCAGCAUGAACGAGACAAAAUACCUGGAUACAAUAGGUCAAAUUCAACUGAUCAGCGGUCCUCGAUCAGCUACUAGUACCAUUUUUUAUCUUAGUUUUUGAAACAGGCUUUUGCCCCUUUUUAAAUAUAAAUCAACAACCGAAUGAAGUACACGAUCGAAUGAUAUAGGGUCAUAUAUAUGAUAACCCUCCGAGGACAAGCGGACCAUGUAAGAUGCACGCGACUAUGCCGUCCAGGGAAAGCACAUGUGAAAUUGAUUACAACACCAUACUACGCUCUAUAACACCUAAGCUUCAUGAUAACGCCUCGGGAAGGAGAACGGUGCUAAACAUCGCCACUGUCAAGUCCACAAUGAACAAAGGUUCUCACCCGGAACCCAGACACGUAGAGGAGCACCACAACGAUGUCUUCAGGAAGGAAAGGCCAUCAACAAUUCCAUGGAUGGAAUUUCUUUAAGGGGUGGAGGCUGUCAUGACCCAUAGUUUAGACGAGAGCGGGAAUAUUUUUUUUUUCGAAUGUGCGUUGCAUUCGUGCAUACAAACUUUGGGCUAAUUUUAAAAGAAACUUCGUGCAUAUCUGCCACAUCACCGAUACUAUCGUUGAAUUCAGAUUCAAAUAAAAAAUUGAGACAACCUCUGCUCAUUUUUGAGUUUUGGCACAAUUCAAAAGUACAAUUUGUUUAUGAAUUGAGAAUUCGUUUAAAUAAUGAUAACAAGAUCCAAGCAGAUCACCAAAGACUAGCACCGAUUGAAUCCCGCGAGAUCUGACGGAGACACGCCACCACAUGCCCUUCGAUGACGUUAGACGCACCAUCGGGACAGGGAUUGGGUGUGGGAGAUAUUAUUCCUACUAGGGGAGAGCGCUGCCACCACACAGCCUCAACCGAGACACUGAAACGAACAAGAAUGAGAGCGGGAUCCCUCUCGCAGGCGAGGGGCCGAGGUCCUCCGCUCCACCGCGGCCCAAGGACAUGGGAGGCGAGGUGGACCGGCGACGGCGCCGAUGGAAGGAAAAGAAACCCUAGUCACCUAAGAAUAGUUUGGCGUGCGAGAUUGUCCUUCUUUACGAUCACACCUCGACAAAGGUACCACAUAUUUAAAAAAAUUAUUGUUACCUUUGACUUUUAUUUUUUACUGUUGCCCAUUGAAAUCUCGAAGUUCGCAGAAUCUACUGAAAUAGUAGUACAUAGAAUGUACGUAGAAUUUACCGAAAUAGUAGUAUAUUGAAAUCUCCGAGUAAAGGUUCCACCGGGAUUCAUCCUGGCUUUGUGUCAACUGGACCGCGCUAGUCUCCCCAAAAGGGUGUGCCAUGACGCAAGGCGGAGUUUGAUCAAAUUCCGCCGAAAAGGAACAUUAGGGCCCGUUCCGAAGCUCUCCAGCUUCCGAAACGAGUCAGCUUCUCAUGGAGCUGGGCGAUCUGGCUUCUCACGGGAGCCAGCGCUGCAUUCGGCAGCAGCGGCUGCUCCAGCUCCCGUUUGCAUGGGCUGGCAGCCCAGGAAGCACUGCCUCAGGGUCACUUGGAGGUCGCAUAUAUCGGGCCGCUCGUUCUCCAAGGAGCAGGAUUCUGGGAGCUGCACCGUUCGGCUAGCUUCUCGCUGGCUUCUCGCGAAGCUGGAAGCUGGAGGACAUCCGAACGGGGCCUAAGCGGCAAUGUGCUCAAAAAUUGCGCAAGCAUAUGAUUUUUGUCAUGAGCAAUACAUUACAAAGCUGAAUAUUGUUUUCAGAGAGCGGCAUUAUCAACACGUAUCCUCGUAGAAAUAAAUAUAUAUGUUACAAAUCUGGUUAAACAAAUACCGCAGCUCAUUUCUUAAAAAAAAGCCAUUUCCUUUCGUACAUGGGUAUAUGGGGUACAUAUACCCCAGUACCUAUUCGUCAAUUCAUUGUUGUAUGCUGCAUUGUGUCAUGUGUAGUUAUCUAUCAUUGUGUUAUUUCAAUGAUUUAAGCGUUGAAGCAAUUGUGUUAUCACCGGUGAGAUAACCAUGCAUGGACCGUUCUUGGACUCGUGGCACUGAUAUUGUCAAUCAAUAUAUGAUGACUUAGCGGUCAUAGUCUGUAAAUGAUCAAUAUAUGAUCGAUGACCUACCUGUCAUAAUCUGCAAAUUCUGAUAGUCGAGAAACACAAUUCUUUUUCAAACAGCGGUACGUUGUUAUCAAACAAUAGGAAACGUUGCCAUCUCACGCCAUCUAUACCAUUAAAUUGACCUUUGUGCGGGCCGUUGUGUUCAGCGGUGUCAUUUUCAUGAACGCAUGACCGAAUUAAUUCUUCUUUAGGCUCUGAGGUUAGUUGGCUGAUUCACAACUUUGACCAUCUUACUUGAUACGGUUGUAAAUAGACUACUAGGAUUAUACAAAAAAAAUGCAGACUAGGUCACUAGAGACUACUUCAGUACUGGUUUAGAAUCUGACAUUUCAACGGUUAAUUUGUUGGGAUGUAGUUAUAUUUUUGCUGUAAAUGUAAACCUAGACCAACUGCGUAGCACUCUAAUUAUUGUGCGGUCUGUCAUUUUCCAGCUCCUCCUUGUGUUGUGGAAUUGGUUGCUCUGGCUGUAUUUGGAUUUCCAACUAACCAGUGAAGCUAGUACUAUUAAGAGCUCGAAGUUUACUCUACAGAGUGAACAUUCAUAUGCAAAAACUUAAAUAUCGGUGCAAAUGUCCAAAAAAAUUCUACUCCCUCCAUUUCCUUACACAAGAUCACUAUAAAAGGUACAUUUUGUAUAUAUAUAAGGCCACUAACAGUAAUCGAGACAAAAAUUAAUGAUGUUUUCUCAUACUAGCAAUUUGUUUAAUACU